GACGAACGCUGGCGGCGUGCUUAAUACAUGCAAGCCGAGCGAGGCCCAUCCAGUGGCAACACUGGGGAAGGCCGAGCGGCGAACGGGUGAGUAACACGUGAGCAACCUGCCCCGAAGUCUGGAAUAACAUCGGGGAACCGGUGCUAAUACCGGAUUGCCCCACCUGACCGCAUGAUCGGGUGAGGAAAGAUUUAUCGCUUCGGGAGGGGCUCGCGGCCUAUCAGCUAGNGGGUCGGGGUAACGGCCCACCAAGGCGUCGACGGGUAGGCUGGUCUGAGAGGACGACCAGCCACACUGGGACUGAGACACGGCCCAGACUCCUACGGGAGGCAGCAGUAGGGAAUCUUGCGCAAUGGGCGAAAGCCUGA
Molecule: ribosomal RNA, 368 nt
Filed under: uncultured bacterium
Lineage: Bacteria
Description: bacterial SSU rRNA
Rfam family: Bacterial small subunit ribosomal RNA
Source: RNAcentral